UCAUUUUUGGCGAAACGUCCUAAACUUAUUUUUUGAAUGAUUGGAACAAUUUGAUGCAACACAUCCAUCCAUAUUUGUCAAAAUUAAGUCGGAAUCGACCAACAAAUAUGUCAACAAAAGGACACUGUAAAAUAGCGAUAGCAACAAGCACGCUUCGUUCGUUACAACGGACGACGCAUCAAAUCCCCGAUGACCACAACUUGUGACGUCACAAAACCGCCAUCUGGCUUGUAGUAGAGUCGGUGUUGGUAGAUAUCUAGUUGGCCUUGGAAAGGGGCGCAAAAUCUUCAGUUGUCCCCGGGCACUGAAAACCCUAGUUACGCCUUUGUAGGUAGUGCGAGGUAAUGUGGGAAGAAGUUUUAUUCAGUCCUAAAAUUCCUAUCAAUCAAUGGCAAAGCUGGAGCUUUUCUGCCUAGGGUAAUCCAUUUGUGUAUGAAAAGAUCUAUUAAAUUUCAAAACGGCAUAUAGAGGAGUAAAUAAAAGUUCUGUAUUUAUUUUUUAAAUAAAACCUUAUUUCCAACAUUCUAAAA
Long non-coding RNA from Stegodyphus dumicola, 530 nucleotides. Lineage: Eukaryota; Metazoa; Arthropoda; Arachnida; Araneae; Eresidae. The record is from RefSeq and is a predicted model, not a curated record.